GCAAGUCGAACGCGAUCCACCAUGACCUUUGAAGUGCUUGCACGGAUGAGGAAUUGGAUUCUGGAUUGAGUGGCGAACGGGUGAGUAACACGUUGGCAUCUGCCCCCAAGUCAGGGAUAACCUUUCGAAAGAAAGACUAAUACCGGAUAGUCUCUUCGGAGUAAAGAUUUAUUGCUUGGGGAGGAGCCUGCGGUCUAUCAGCUUGUUGGUAGUGUAAUAGACUACCAAGGCUAUGACGGAUAACUGGUCUGAGAGGAUGACC
RNAcentral lists this ribosomal RNA (262 nucleotides) under uncultured bacterium. Its description in RNAcentral is "partial 16S ribosomal RNA". It matches the Rfam family "Bacterial small subunit ribosomal RNA", at positions 57 to 305 of the family's 1533-position model. The record is from RNAcentral.